AUUUAUUAAAACAAUUUCGUAUCUUCACACAAAACGCUGUAACACUGUUCACAGUUUUUCAUCUUCCUUUGCACCGAAUGUAAACAUUAUUGCUAAAUGAAAAUAUUCGUACGUUCACUUGAUGUUAGGAUGUCGUUUUGGUAACAGUAACGCAAAAGAGUGCACAACAGUAUUUAAAAUGAAUACCAAAAAGUGUGAGGCUUACUGUUUACAGUGCUAUAUAUUAGGUAGACAACUAAGUGAUGGCGGAUUUUGUCAAUGCCACCUAACGACAAAGUCCACAAUCACUUAGCUACCAACCCAAUACAAUCUGUACAUUUAUCAUUCCUAUUUUUACAGACAAAUAAAAUACAACAAUCUGUAGAAGUGAGAGAGUCGUUAAGAGAAUUGCUGUUUGAGACAGUCGUUAAAAAAGCCAUUAAAACCAAUGAAAUUUGAUAUAAUCGUCAAUACGUAAAUAAAAUGUGAAACUGUAAAAUUGGGAAAAUUGGAUGACCAACGCUCGUUCACUAUCAAACGAAAUUCCGUGAAGAGAAUUCCUGAAGUGCCUGGUGGAAAUUGUAAUUGGGAUAAAGAGUUCGGUACAGCGCGUCCGAAAUCAAUUGACCGUUCAACAUCACUUCGCCUAUUCCAAGAGCGACUCACAGUUAAGACGAAGUGGGGGAAACUCCUUAACCUGCAAAGCUUAGUUUCGAACCACCGAAUAAUAUGGUGGGAUUUGUUCUUUCAUGGCUUCGAACGGUCAAUUGAUACUACGUGUAACAGAACUAAAAAGAUUUUAGUUGGUCGAAGCUACGUAAAGGGAAUUUCACAACGAAGAACCGUGUCAACUGUGAAUCGAUUAAAUCGAGGAAAGUUCAAAUAUUUAAAAAGAAAGGAAACAUGAAAAUAGAAAGGAAAAUAGAAACAAGGGGGCGGAUUUGCCAAAAAAUUUCAAAUGAAAAACUGGUGUAAAAUUUUGCAAGGCGAAAGUUUGAAGUCGACCGAUCUUUCAAAGUAAAAGGUAACGUUCGUUGCUUAAGAAAAGAAAUUACCCGCGGAAUAUGAAACGUUUUGGCUGGAAACACAGUUUAAAAUGGAACGAUGCGGAUUGUUGACAAUCGGGGGAAAAAAAGACAGGAAGAAGCAAGCAACUUUGACGCAAACAACUUUUUACUGAAAUAUCAAGGCGAAGAAGUAGUUCAAGAUGAAAGCAAAUGGAACACCGCAGCCCCGUGGUUUCAUAUGAAACUUCUCAAGCGUCCAACUUUCAUCUGAUCGAUGCAAAAAAAAAGAAAGAAGAAAUAUAUCGUUUGAACGACUCGAAUCAUUAACUUGAAACAAGAUCUCCUAUCGUUUGUGUAGAUAGGAGCACGUUUACGAGAAUAUUGCAAGCUAAGGUAGUCGAUCUAAUGACCAUAUGUUUUUCGAAAAGUACAUUCCAUGCCUGCGAAGAACAUUUGUACACCGCUUUAUUUAUUGCGGCAUUUUAUAUGCUAAUUAAUUAGCUUCAAGCAUAUUAAAUUUACACGAAAUGUAGAAUUUAUUAACACAUUGUUGACCGGCAAUUUUACUGAGAAUUUUAUACCACCGGUUAUUAUUUCGCAAUUGUAUGUGCAAGUAAAACAAUAUAAAUAAACUUUAAUAAAUUUUAUCUAUUAUUCAA
Bombus terrestris (buff-tailed bumblebee) is the source of this 1645-nucleotide long non-coding RNA. RefSeq lists it as uncharacterized. The transcript has 2 exons. The record is from RefSeq and is a predicted model, not a curated record. NCBI's taxonomy places the organism in Eukaryota, Metazoa, Arthropoda, Insecta, Hymenoptera, Apidae.